GAUGAACGCUGGCGGCGUGCCUAAUACAUGCAAGUCGAGCGAACGGACGAGAAGCUUGCUUCUCUGAUGUUAGCGGCGGACGGGUGAGUAACACGUGGAUAACCUACCUAUAAGACUGGGAUAACUUCGGGAAACCGGAGCUAAUACCGGAUAAUAUUUUGAACCGCAUGGUUCAAAAGUGAAAGACGGUCUUGCUGUCACUUAUAGAUGGAUCCGCGCUGCAUUAGCUAGUUGGUAAGGUAACGGCUUACCAAGGCAACGAUGCAUAGCCGACCUGAGAGGGUGAUAGGCCACACUGGAACUGAGACACGGUCCAGACUCCUACGGGAGGCAGCAGUAGGGAAUCGUCCGCAAUGGGCGAAAGCCUGACGGAGCAACGCCGCGUGAGUGAUGAAGGUCUUCGGAUCGUAAAACUCUGUUAUUAGGGAAGAACAUAUGUGUAAGUAACUGUACACAUCUUGACGGUACCUAAUCAGAAAGCCACGGCUAACUACGUG
RNAcentral lists this ribosomal RNA (497 nucleotides) under uncultured bacterium. RNAcentral describes it as "partial 16S ribosomal RNA". It matches the Rfam family "Bacterial small subunit ribosomal RNA", at positions 28 to 507 of the family's 1533-position model. The record is from RNAcentral.